This 495-nucleotide ribosomal RNA is filed under the name Triticum aestivum (bread wheat). Its description in RNAcentral is "partial small subunit ribosomal RNA". Lineage: Eukaryota; Viridiplantae; Streptophyta; Magnoliopsida; Poales; Poaceae. The record is from RNAcentral.
AUGUCGACCAGCCCACCUCCCUCUCCUGUCGACAGCGGCCUCGGGCACAACCCCUCUGCCGAGGAACUCGCCGCCGCUGCAGCCGCCGCUGAGCGUCCCCGCGCGUCGCUCACCCCAGAUCUCACCAACUCCGGUGAUCUGCCUCUCGCUGCAUCCCCACCCAACCCCAUUCCCCCGAUCCCUCUCUCUGUGCCCACCACCACUCCCCCUCCCGGCGGCCUCCCUCCAAGCAUCGCCGGGGUCGUCGACUUCAAGUUGACCCUGGAUGGGACCAACUUCACCCGCUGGCGCAACUACCUCAACCUCCUCUUCGCGCGGUACCAUGCGGAGACGCACGUCCAGGCCGGGGCCGCGGCGCGCCUCUCCGAUCCACAGUGGCGCGACGACGACAACACUAUCCGCCUCUGGUUCUUCUCCACCAUCGAAGGUGAUCUCCUCGACCUCGUCGCUCCACCCGACUCCACCGCUUACACCAUUUGGCAGCGCCUUCAUGAG